This 743-nucleotide ribosomal RNA is filed under the name uncultured euryarchaeote. RNAcentral describes it as "bacterial SSU rRNA". It matches the Rfam family "Archaeal small subunit ribosomal RNA", at positions 54 to 802 of the family's 1478-position model. The record is from RNAcentral. Lineage: Archaea; Methanobacteriati; Methanobacteriota.
CGAGUCGCGAGACUUAGAAUCUCGGCGUACCGCUCAGUAACACGUGGGUAACCUGCCCUAUGCUAGGGGAUAACCUCGGGAAACUGAGAAUAAUACCCUAUAGUUCACCACGCCUGGAACGGUGGGUGGAUGAAAGCUCCGGCGGCAUAGGAUGGGCCUGCGGCGUAUCAGGUUGUAGGGGGUGUAAUGUACCCUCUAGCCAUCUACGCGUACGGGUGUUGGGAGACAUCGCCCGGAGAUGGAUUCUGAGACACGAAUCCAGACCCUACGGGGUGCAGCAGGCGCGAAAACUUGGCAAUGCGAGAAAUCGUGACCAGGGAACUCCAAGUGCAUCGGGUAAGACCGAUGCUUUUCUUGACUCUUCAAAGGUCUUGGAAUAAGGGGUGGGUAAGGACGGUGCCAGCCGCCGCGGUAAUACCGGCGCCUCAAGUGGUAGUCGCUUUUAUUGGGCCUAAAACGUCCGUAGCCGGUUUGGUACAUUCGUGGGUAAAUCAAGGCGCUCAACGUCUUGAAUUCUGCGAGCACGGCCAGACUUGGGACCGGGUGAGGUGUGGGGUACUCUCAGGGUAGGGGUAAAAUCCUGUCAUCCUGAGAGGACCACCUGUUGCGAAGGCGCCACACUAGAACGGAUCCGACGGUCAGGGACGAAGCCUAGGGGCACGAACCGGAUUAGAUACCCGGGUAGUCCUAGGUGUAAACGCUGUGGACUUGAUGUUGGGAGUGCUCCGAGCACCCUCAGUGUC